UUGGGCGUCGUUGCAGCGAGCACCAAGGAGAAAAGCCUGUAUUUUCAUGCAGCUACGUUAGCUUUACAUGCAUGGGGUGCAAGGGGUCGAGUGUUCGAAUCACUCCGUCCCGACCA
Molecule: transfer RNA, 116 nt
Filed under: Pseudomonas kermanshahensis
Lineage: Bacteria; Pseudomonadati; Pseudomonadota; Gammaproteobacteria; Pseudomonadales; Pseudomonadaceae
Also listed under: 1 other name
Description: tRNA-Pro
Source: RNAcentral